AGUCGAACGAUGAACCCACUUCGGUGGGGGAUUAGUGGCGAUCGGGUGAGUAACACGUGGGCAAUCUGCCCUGCACUCUGGGACAAGCCCUGGAACGGGGUCUAAUACCGGAUACGACCACUUCAGGCAUUUGAUGGUGGUGGAAAGCUCCGGCGGUGCAGGAUGAGCCCGCGGCCUAUCAGCUAGUUGGUGAGGUAACGGCUCACCAAGGCGACGACGGUUAGCCGGCCUGAGAGGGCGACCGGCCACACUGGGACUGAGACACGUCCAGACUCCUACGGGAGGCAGCAGUGGGGAAUAUUGCACAAUGGGCGAAAGCCUGAUGCAGCGACGCCGCGUGAGGGAUGACGGCCUUCGGGUUGUAAACC
This 368-nucleotide ribosomal RNA is filed under the name Streptomyces sp. CR 5. RNAcentral describes it as "bacterial SSU rRNA". It matches the Rfam family "Bacterial small subunit ribosomal RNA", at positions 60 to 431 of the family's 1533-position model. The record is from RNAcentral. Lineage: Bacteria; Bacillati; Actinomycetota; Actinomycetes; Kitasatosporales; Streptomycetaceae.